UGCACAUAAAUAUUUUCCUGUCAAACUGAAUGUGGAUCAUGCAUUAAUUCGACUAUUUUUUAAUGUGAGACGGUGACUCAGAUUUUGGCAACAUAAGCAUUUGUUUGAUGAUAUAAUUAAGUUUGUAGAGAACAUUACCAUAUGCAUUGCCGAUCUUUGCAGUGCUUCGAAACCCUAAAGUGACUCCAACACAAGCUAACAUGAGAAGGUAGUUCACUUCCGGAAUAUAAACUUGUCCGGCAUACUUGGUUGAUGUGUGCACGAUUUUCACACGAGGGAAACACCCUAAUGAUAGUGAUUGUUGGAUUAUAGAGAAAGUCCCUGAAAUCAUAGCUUGACUAGCUAUGAUCGCUGCCAUUACAGCCACUACAAACAUAGGCCAAUACAAAGGCUCUGCAUGCAUUCAGCACAAUUAGUACACAAUUAAAAAAUUAUGCAACCACCUAAGUUAGUUAUUAUAUAUGGUUGUUAAUGUUGAGGUAUACAUAUUUGAUACUUAGCUCGUAAAAGGUUAAACUGGUAAUUUUAUAGGGUUUUGGUUGACAAUGAGUGUUUUAUUAAUUAGUAAAGAUAUAUACUUACUUGGUAUCGACUUGAAGAAGGUAUCUGCAACAAGAAGAUGGUGCUUGCGAAGAAAAGAGGCUUGUCCAGAGUAUGCCAAUAUGAGAGCUGGAUAAGUAACUGUGCACAUACUUAUUUGAAUGGAUCGUACUGUGAAGUGUCCCACGUCAGCAAAUAAAGCUUCAGUUCCUGCAAUUGAAGAUUGAGACAUUAAAUAGUUCUGAUUAUAAAAUUUGUAUGGUAAAGAUACGUUAUGUAUUAUCUAUUUUUGAAAGAAAUUAACAUUUAACUACUAAAUAGUUCAGGGGUGUAGAUAGGAAUUCUAUAGAAUUUUAAAAGAAUUAUAAAUUCAUGGAGUUUUAGUGGGCUUAUGCAGAUAACAUGUGAAUUCUCUUAAAAUCUGAAAAUUCUUUAAAAUCAAAUCAUGAUACUUCUAUAAAAUUCUUUCAAAAUCUUGAUUACACCAGGAUUUAAUCUAUAUGAAGUAUGAACUUGUAGAACGUCUUUAAAAAUGCUAAUUGAAUAACGUUGAACUUUUAUAAAUUCAUUUAAAAUCUUGAAUGAAUACCAUUGAAUUUUUAAACUCUUUCCAAAUCCUUUAUAUUGUCUUAUUUAGAAAUUAAAUUUUUAUGUUACUUUGCAUGAAAUUAAUUGUAAACCUGUUAUGGCUAAGACAAUGCCACCAAGAGAAAUCCAAGCGUCUUUUUUGUUCCUCCUGAAGUAAUCUAUUAUGUAUUGUGGAUUUAGAGCCUUGACCACCGUCGGAUCAAACUUGAUGAAGUUGUAGACGCCAAUUCCACCAAUCAUGGUAAACCAAAUGCAAAUAAUUGGUGCAAAACUGUAGCCUACUUUAUCAGUUCCAAAUCUUUGAACCAUGAAUAGGGCAAUCAAGAUGACUACUGAUAUCAAAACAACCCGACCUGUGCACACAGAUUAAAUUCAAACUAUUUAACCAAAAACAUUUAAAUUUAAAUUACUCAAAUUAUCUUUUCACUAUCCGUUUUAUAGAAUGAGGAUCAUCUCCGGAUCGUCUUUGUGAGGAUCCAAGGAUCCUUUAAUUUUGUCAGUUCAUCAUAUAUCGUGAGCCAAUUUUCGUUAAGUACGGUUUGUGUUCAAUUUUAAAUAAUAAAAUUUAAAAUGAUUUCUAGCCAUGCAAUAUACAAUAAACAAAUACGAUUAAAGGAUCUAAGAAUCCGAAGAGGAUCCUCAUUCCGUUUUAUAUACCACACACAAAUAAUAUUUGGAUCAAUACCUUGUGUCAUUGCAGAUGUGGCUUCUUUGAUUCCUCCAACAGCCGAUAGAACUGCCAUCACAUUGGAACAAAAACAAUUUUAAUAUUCAAGUCAAAAGAUAUUAAGCACAUAAUCAUGUGAGAGUAGGAGACGCAACUUUGAUUUUGUCUUAUAUUGCAAAAUUACUCAACUUUUUCGACUUCAUUUUUGGGAAAUUUUCUAGGUUCUUCUUUUUAUUUUAACUUAUGCUUGUGAAUAAGAUAACAUGGACUCCAUACGGAGAGGAACCACUUUUAUUUUAGAGUUUGGUUCUGCCGGUUUUGCCCUAAAAUUUAUUUUUAUUUAUUAUUUCAUGAUUUUUUCCUUUUUUUAUUUGAGUUAUAACUCAAGUAAUAAUACUCUAUGUAGAUUCCUUAUUAAUACAACUAUAGACAAAUAAAUUAGAUGUGUAGCAAGAGUUUUGUACAAGCGCCCAUUUACUACCUUUUGCAAAAGACCCUAAAAUCUGAGAGUCGACCAUGUACUUGUCCCGUUAGUAAGUUACACUAAUGAGCAUGCAAGUUGAGAGAUUCUAGUUAAACUUUAGAGACAGUUUCAGAAUCGAUAUUGUUUAUGACUUAAUCAUUUGUUUAAUAAGUUUUAUAUUAAAAGUCUCAAUAUCUCAUUCCCUUUAGUGUAGAUUAUAUCGUUUGUUUUUUAAAAAGUUUCAAUAUAAUAAGUAGUGAAACUAUUCGAUAUAGAAAGAAUUUAACUUCAUUAGAUUUUCGAACCGAGACAUAGUUAAAAAAAUUCUAUAUAAUCAGAAAUAUAUUCACCUUUCAUCACGCCACUAUGUCAAAUGAGGAGAUAUAUAGAUAGGUACUUUUUUUUCUUCUUAAUUAAAGAUUUGACAAACCUGAGAUGCAAGGAGUGAGGACACCAUCACCAAUGACCAUGGAAGUACCAAGCAUGGUGGCGAAUAGUAGAAAGAUUUUGGCAAAUGGGCUGUUCUCCAAUGAUGACUUAAGCCUAGAUGCCCUCUUUACACUUUUGGUAGGCAACUCAAGCUGAAAAUUUGAAACAUCACGAUCCUCUGCUUGUUGACUCGGAGUCAAACCAACCUUGGCAUAUCGACACAGCAAAGAGUAUAGUGCGAACGUCCCUCCUGCAAAAAAAAAAAAAAAAAAAACAUUAUGUGUUUUAAAAAUAUACUAUAAUUUUUUUUUUCUAAUAAAAAAGACUAUGAUUGAAUUGGCAAUUUAGAAAAACCUAUCAUUAUGCGUAUUAAAAAUUAAAAUUUUUGUUAGACUCCACUUGACAAGUUCCUCCCAGGUUCGUACCUCAAACUUGUAUUAAAUUCAAACUUGGUAUCUUUUUUUUCUUUUGGUCUUUUUACGUGUCAGAAAAUGACACAGCGAAACAUCAAAGGUUGGGGCUUUUGGUCGCAUUAAAAUGACAUAAUUAGGACUUUUGAAGUGGAAGAAAAACUGCAAUUAACAAUAGAUUAAUGGGGACUCAAUUAUAUAUAAGGGAAUUCUUCUUUCUUUUUGACAGUUUAAUUAUAAUAAGCAAUCAAAAAUUUCAAACUAACAACGUAUGAGUCUAAAGUAUAUGCUGAUGGAGAAAUUUUGUAAUUUGUCCAGAACACGUGGUGGUGCACCACAUGUCAUUAUAUAAGUGGAGAUAAAUUUUAUUUUUUAAGUGUCCAUUUACUUGUAUAAUGACAUGUGGUGUACCAUUCUGUGUUCCGAUAACAUUGAAAAAUCUCUCAAGCUGAUGAGACACCGAAAGCUAAAUGAUGCUUUUUAUAUUUAUUUAUUUUCUAUGAAAAGUUGAGAACAUAAUUAAAUAUGAAGGAUUUAAUAAGUGAUAAUAUUUUGUUUGUAAUUAUACAGAUCUAGGAGAUGUAUGGAAUCUUACCAUCGCCGUUAUCGUUGGCCCGUAAGACGAUUAAAACGUACUUAAUCAGAGGGAUUAAGGUGAGUGUGUAAAAGAUCAAAGAAAGAACACCCAAAAUGUCAUCGCUAUGGUUGAUGCCUUUGGUGAAGGUGCUCGCAUACACAUAGAGAGGUGAUGUACCAAUGUCCCCAUAAACUAUGCCAAUGCUCUGAAAUGCCAAGUGCAUUAUCACCGACCAGUCUGCACCCUAAAAAAAAUUCCAAAAGAAAAUAAAUUUAGAAUAAGUUCAACAACAACAACAAUCAAACUUUAAUUAUCUCAUUAAGUGGAUUGGCUCUAUGAAUUCUAUAACGUCACUGCGCUCGAUUUUACGCCAAGUCUUCCAUCAGUUUCAAGUACUUCUUAUCUUUUUUUAAAGUCUCUUUCAAAAUCUUUCUAUCCCUUCAACUAUCGUUUUUGCCAUAAACUUUCGUCUCAUAGUCGCAUCUUCUAGUCGGAACAUUUAUAGGUCUUCAGUGCACAUGUCCAAACCACUUUAACCAAUUUUCUCUCAUUUUAUUUUCAAUUGCGAUCACUCUUACUUUACCUCAAAUAUCCUCGUUCUUAAUCUUAUCUUUUCUUGUGUGCACACACCUUCAACAAGCAUUUUCAUCUCUGCUACACUCAUUUUUUGCACGUGUUGAUUUUUGAUCUUCCAACAAUCUGUGCCAUAAAGCAUUGUUGGACUUAUUGUUGUCCUAUAAAAUUUUUCCUUGAACUUUAGUGGCAUAUGACAUCGCACAACACACUCAAAGCACUCUUCCACUUUAUCAUCCUGCUUGUAUUCUAUAAUUGAGGUUUCUAUCCAAUUCUGAAUAAAAUCAUGUUUUCUUUUUAUCUUAGAAAAUUGUUCCGUUGUAAAAAAAAAAGCUAUUUUGUCUUCUUUCUUAACUAUUCAACAACUACUGUAAAAAAAAAAAAAACUAUUCAGCAACUGUUGGUCUUUUUUUCUUUUUUUUUUGUUGAAAACAACUUGAGAAUUAAAUUCGAAACCUCUUCAAAUGAAAUGGAGGAGAUUAGAUGCCGCUGUAUCAAAUGACUUAAAAAAUAUAUUUAAUACACCAAAUAUGUAUAUAUCAAUAAAAUCUAAUUGAAAUAGUACUAUACUAUUAAAGAACAUAAGAAAAAUGGAGAUCGAUGGACCUUGGAGGCAUGGCCAUGGGGAACUGUGAAACGGCGUGACUCGAGGUCCAAGGAGUCGUUUCUUCGCAACUUUUGCCAGGAAAGUUUCUUCCCUUUGAGUUGAUCCUUAUGAUGCUCAUGAUGAUCAGAAACUUCCUGAUGAUCUUGGCUUCCCUCAUCUGUAGGGUUUUCCACUACUACCUCUUCAUCAGACAUUUCUAUUAAACCUAGGCAGCCACUUCUCACACACUCAAAUUAAUUUCUAGAGAGAGAGAGAGAGAGAGAGAGAGAGAGAGAGAGAACUGUAGGUAGGUCUUCCUCUUUGAGAGCAAAAGCAAGCUAGCUAGCUAGGUGUUUGGGACAGAGUUAGAGAUCUGGGGGUGCCAAGUGUGGGGAGGUGUUCUUCUAUAUGUGAGGAUGGAUUGUGAUAUUUAAAGGCAAAUUAAUUGAGGAAGAGGCCACAACUCAUUUACCAUAUGCUCAUAUACAUUGACCGUCUAUUUAUACGCAUGGUUUGCACACAUAUACGUACAAAGUUGAAUAAAAUGUAGGGAAACAUAUCUCAUGGCACUAGCAAAACAAAUCUCAUGGCAUUAAGACAAGAGCUUGACCUUGUUUGUGAGAAUAAUAUGAAGCUGACCUAAACGAGCUUCGUCCGAGGUUGAAGAUGUUGAUGGGCUCCCAAUUUGAAAUCUUUUUAAUUGCUACAUAUUUAUCCCUUUAACCCUUGAUCUGUCAAUUCUGACAGUAUCACACACACGCACACAUAUAUGUGUGCGUGUGCGCCCUUAUCUAUUUUAUAUAUUAUUCACGAAUCACAAAGUACUUGAAAUACGAGUGACACACCAUGUGUCACUAUACAGAUAAUGUGAUAUUUGUAUUAAAUUUUUCUUCACAUGUAUAAUGACCCAUAAAAUUUUUCCAGUCAUAAUAAAAAAAUUUCUCCACAUUUUCAUGACAUUUCCAUUUUUCUAAGGUGACGGCACUAUCAUUCAUACUCCCUAUUAUAUAAAAUUAGGUUACCUUUUUCUUUUGGACUUGGAAUAUUAAUGCACAUUACCCAAUUAUAAUAUUUUUGUUUUAAAUAAGUAUUUAAAUGCCCAAUAAUUCAACUUCUUCAUAGGUCAAGUUUUAUUACCAGCUGUGUAUCUACCAUAUUUUAUAUUUUAUAACUCAUGUUCCUUUUAAUAUAAUUUCCCUUUCUUGUAUUAUAUAUGAAACUAAAGAAAUUUACAAUGAUACAAGGAUAUUCUCAAUAAAAAUGGCAAUAAUGAAAUUUACAAGAAAGACAAUUUGGACAUGAUCUCUAUAAAAAUGGCAAUAAUGAAAUUUACAAUUGUUGAUGCACAAAACCGGAAGUCUUGGAACAACGUAAAUCCGACCGUGAAUCUGCAUGAAAUGUAAAUGACACAAGAGUUAUCGUGGUUCACCCCAAGGUUUGGGCUACGUCCACACUGAUUGUAUUAUAUUUCUCUGAGAAGUGAGGGAGAGAGAGCUUAGGGGAUGUGAGGAGCUUUGAGAGGGGGUGAGAGGCUUCAGAAAUGGCCUCUGAUGGUGAGAAUGAGCCUCCCCUAGAAUGAGGGUAGGAGUCCCCUUUUAUAGAAUAAGGGGCUCCUCCUCUUUUACAAAGUAUGGGCUUUAGUGUGAGGCCCAAAUACAAGGCCCAAGGCCCAAAUAUACGAGGCCCUAAAUAUGGUAUAAACAACAAUGAUACAAGGAUAUUCUGAAAAGCUAUAUGUAAUACGUAUAAGGCAGAUUUGAGGCAAUAAGGUCCAUAACUACAGUCAAAGACUCAAAAGUCAAUCCCCCGUGCGCUUAUGUUAGAGGUGACACAAAAUGAUAAUCCUUUAUUUUAUGUGUAACAGGUUGUUUCUAUAUACAUGACGAUGUGAUAUUAUUAUAUUGUACAAACGUUAUACUUAGGAUUGUUUAUUCUUUCUAUAGAUAAGUUCAUUUAAUUUGAAGAUUGUUUAGUUAUCCUUAACACAUGUCAAACAAAUCCAUUGUUAUGGUAACAAGUAAUAUCAUUACGAUUAACUGGUUGACGUGUGUGACGAUUUGCUAUUUUUCAUCUUAUUCUUUAUUCUUUAUUUAUAAUUUUUAUUUAGUUUAGUUUGGAUUUUUUUUAAAUUAAAUUAUUUUAUGUUAGAAUCUUAAUUAGAAAGAAGUAUUUUGGGGAUAUUGAAAACUUCACCAUUUGGGUGUAUAUAUGUAUGUAUGUAUGUAUGUAUGUAUGUAUAGCUAAUUAAGCUUAAUUUUCAGCAAAUAAGAAACUGUAUUAAUACUGAUCUAUCACAGUUAAUCUGUUGCUUUGCUUAGUUAUAAUCGGAUAACUUAGAGCAAAAGUCACAGAGAGUUUUGUUGUGGAAGAUGUCCACGUGAUCGUCGUGUGACAUGAGUAGGAUUUAGGCUUUAAGCUUUUCGGAAGUAUCAGAGGAAGGCAUCAACUGUUUGACUUAGGGCAUGCAUGGUAUGGCGCAACCAAAGCUUUUGGUCCUUGGCAUUGUCAAGAUUCCACUGCAUGCUGGUAGCUGCUUUAGAGGGGGCGUUGAAGGGAUGCGAAAGGUGCAGUUGCACAUGCCCCAAUUUUGAAGGGAUCCUCAAAAUUUUUGUCACUAGUAUUUAUAUGUAAUAAUAUUCUAUAUUUAAAAUUGCUUUUGUUAUGGGAUAAUGUUCUAUAUUCAAAAAUUGAUUUUAUUAGGACAUUAAAAUCUCAUCUUGGACUCCUUUUAAGCGUAAUUUUUUUUAUUUUCUAAAUAUAAAAAUUUAGAGCACAAUAAGAUAUUUUGAGUGCUAAUAAUACACCAUAAAAGACGGUAUUUUUUUUUCAAUAUUAUUAUAUAAUAAUGUCACAUAUUCAAGUGAAACUUUAAAGUUAGAGUUUUUGAAGUUUGUUUUCUUGUUUGGUUGUUUAAGAGUGAAGUGCUUUUGAUUAUUUAGUGAACGUUAUGUUUGUAGCUCUUUUACUUAUUAUUAAUAACAUUUUUAAACUUGCAAUUAGUGAGUGCUAAACUUUGUUUUGAUUUAAGUAAUUGUUUUCUAGCGUCAAUACAUUGUCAUACAUUUUUUAAGACUAUCUUAAGGAGGGGCGCUUUUAUAAAUUUCGCACAGGGCCCCUAAAAUCUUAGAGACGGCCCUGCAGCUUAGGGGCCAAUCAGCAGGCGUUACGUACCAAAUUUGGUUAUUUUUUAUGGAGUAAUGUUAAGGAGAUUAAAUUUGUAGACAAAUUUUUGAAAACUAAAAGACAUGGAAGUUGAUGAUUGAUUUAUUACUCACACAUUGAUAAACGUGCUUAUUCUUAUUGGUGACACAUCAUUUAGUUUGCAAAUUUAGUCUUCAAAUUUGGUCUCCCCUAGCAUUAUUCUUUUUUAUGUUGUGUGGCAAUUGCCACUGCUAAGUAACCCCCUAUGGCUUCUAUGCCAACUUCCAAAUUUAGAUUGAUGUUGAUUGUAUUACAAUAUUCACCAAGAAUUUGAGAGAGAGAGAGUUCAUAGGAUCUUCCAAGAUAUAGGUGGAGUUAACGGUGUCAUUAGAGAAAUUAUUGCAGUUAACUUUCCAAAAUAUAGGUGGAGUCAAUUAUUUUAUUGAUAGGGAAGAGGUCGGAGACUCGGAUAUUCAAAGUUAGGAUAUCUUUUAAUACUAAAAAGAGAAAUAUAUUACUGAAUUAUUAAGAGUUAGAUAGAAUAAUUUAAUUAGCUAUAAACUGGUGUCUGUCAUCGAACAUAUUAUAUUUUAUUGCGGCCUCACGGUAAUAACCAUAUUUUUGUAGAAUCCCAGACGCCAUGUGCGUGUUGUCUACUCCAUCAUCGCAAUUAUAAGUAAUUAUGUAGUUUUACUGAAAAUAAUGCAGAAUUAACCAGAAGCAAACAGAAAUAAACUACUAACCAUGCUCCCUUCUGAUCACUCUGUCCAUUUGAUUCUGCUAAUUACCUUAUUUUAUUAUUUGUUUGUCUCUUACUUUCGAGGUUCUACAAGGCUAUUUCGAAUUUGGACUUUCUCAGAAAAUUAACCUCCAAUAAUAAUUCUUCUAAUUAAUUAUUUUACUUUGCACCUGUCCAUUAAUUUAUGUUAGGUAUUAGUUUCUAGUUCUUACAAGGCUGUUUCGAAUUUGGAUUUUCUCAGAAACCUUUUAGCCGAAUUGGGUUUGUUUGCCGUUUCACAUGUACCAAAUUCAAGAUAUGGAUAGACUGAGUUUCAAGUACUAAUCAGUUCAUAACUUAAGACAACAUUAAUCAUUUAUUUAGGUUUACCUUACAAUAUUUUACAUAAUCUGAAUGGAUCACUUUUUGGAUUAUGAUUUAAAGCUUAAUCAUACAAAAAAUUAUAAAGUUGGAAGCCAGUUAAUUAUUUAAGUGUCUUAAAUAGAAUAACACACAUUUGUCAAUAAAUAAAUUCAGUAUUACAAUAAUAAUUAAAGAGCUAAACGACUUUCGAUUUGAUUGAAUUUUUACAACGAUUUAUGAUUGAUGACCUAAAAAGUGAACUCUUAUUUUUUUUUUGUCAAAUGAUAGAUUUUGUUAGAUUAGCCACCGACAGAGUUCGAACCCAUGCCGUCAUGCAAGAGCUCAACACCUUUCCACCACUAUAAUAAAGAGCCACUUGCUUAGGUAUUGCCAGCAACGAGAUUCGAACCUAUGCCUUGGCCUAGCGAAUAAAAAGUGAACACUUUAGAUCAUGAGAUUAUUUUGUUGACCAACACCACUGACCCGCACCUCCCCUUCCCCAUUUACCUACUAUUUUGUUAUACCUUUCAUCUUUUUAUGUAGUGUCAUUCUCAAACUUAUUUCUAUGCUCUCGUCUUGAAAUAGAACGUGGGUUUGAAUUGGCUUUGUGGUUGUGGUGGGUCAAAAUCGCCUUCUACUAGUUAGUGUCCACGACGAUUUAUUGCGACGAAUUUAUACCGAAUAUAGUUUUUGUGUUUCUUUGUUCAUUGUGGUUGCUAUAUAGAGAUCAAGUUUGCUUGUUGUGUGCUUAUUCUCUCCAAAUUAAGGAUUUGGUCACUGAGAAGAUGUACUCAAUUGACAUCGAUUUUGUAUUUUUUGUUGUAAUCGUCUUUUUAUCAAUGAAUUACCACUACCAUUCUUUAAAAAAAAAAAAAAAAACUGAUUAGCGCUAAAACGCUCCUAUAUUUGUAUUACAUGUAUAUGGAUAUAUAUUUUGUAAGAUUCAUGAUUUAAUAUUUUUAAUUUUUCCGUCGAAUUAGAUAACAAUGACUGCUAUAGUUUUCUAACACCGUAUGCUCUUAGAGCAACUCCAGUGUAGGAGCCCUUCCCCCAGACUAUUCACUAUUUAAUCCACACAGUGAACAGUAAUUGCCCUUAAUGAACAGUAAUUGCAGUGGUAAUUGCCUUUUGCAUUUCCACCCUUGCACUAAAUAGCCCUGGCAAUUGGCAAUAAAAAUUAUUUUAUUUAUAAAAUAAUACAUAAUAAUUUAAUUUUAAUUUUGGAUAAGAUUUUUAAUCGUUCUCGUUGUGCCACGUGUUAUUAUCCGAAAAGCCAAUAGCAAUAAAAUAUUUGUAUUUUUUUAUUUAUAAAAUAAGUCAAAAUAAUUUUAUUUGUAAUUUCAGAUAAGAUUUUUAAUCGUUCUCGUUGCGCCACGUGUCAUUAUCCGCAAAGACAAUUAUUGGUGAUGGAUUUCCGAUAAGAUUUUUAACCAAUCAUGUCGUGCCACGUGUCAUAAUCUCAUUACAAUCUUUGAGGCUAGAUUUCCACCAGAUUUUUAACGAAUGACAGCAUGCCGCGUGGCAUUAUCUACAGCCUAAUCCUUUCUGAAUUCUCCAUAUAAUCUACCAUCCAUCCUUAGAAAUCUCACACCAAUUUUCUCAAGAUCUCUAUCAUUAUUCAUAGUUUCUGCUUCAUUCUUCACCAAAAUCCCUAUCAUUAUUCAUUCUGCUUCAUUCUUCACCAAAAUCUCUAUCAUUAUUCAUAGUUUCUGCCUCAUUCUUACAAUGUUUUCUUCUUCUUCUUCAAAGAUGAUGUGGGAAAUCGAUCAAGAAGAGGAAGAAUUGUUUAACCAAUCAGAAGGAAUGUUCAAUGCUGGUGAUUGGGCCCAAAAUGAGAUGAAGGAGGAUGACAAACGUAGAUGGAGAGAUGACGAAUCAAGAAUGGCAAGAGCCUCACACUCCCGUCGAGUCAUCCAACCUGUGGCUCAAAUCUGCAGACCCAACCGUGCUGUAAACAUUGAUAGAAACAGGCAACGACGAGGUGAGGAGCUCUUGGACGAUUAUUUUGUCUGUAACAGUGCAUUCCCUAAUACGUACUUCUGACGUCGUUUUAGAAUGGAACGACAUUUGUUCAACAAAAUCAUGGGCGCUGUUUGCAACCAUGAUUCUUACUUUAUGCAAAAACUAGAUGCUUUUGGUGCUAUGGGUCUCAUGCCUGAGCAAAAAAUUAUUGCUGCCUUGAGGAUGCUGGCAUAUAGAGCAGCUGCAGGCCAAGUGGACGAGAUAACGAGGAUGGGAAAAUCAACCAUUCUUGAGUCCCUGAUGAGGUUUUGCUUGGCAAUCGAAUCUAUCUACACCGCAGAGUACUUCCGAAGACCUACUCAUAUGGACUUGGAAAGGCUUCUGAAGAAGGGCGAGAUGCGAGGUUUUCCAGGGAUGAUUGGAAGCAUUGAUUGUAUGCACUGGACUUGGAAAAAUUGUCCAAGUGCAUGGAAAGGCGCUUAUGGGGACAGAAAAUGAUCAAAAAGUAUCAUUUUGGAGGCGGUGGCCUCUUUUGAUACAUGGAUUUGGCAUGCAUUUUUCGGGGUUCUGGGAGCUCAAAAUGAUCUCAAUGUCCUUACCCAUACCUCGGUGUUCAACGAAGUCUUGCAAGGAAAGGCAACAAAAGUCACAUACUGGGUCAACAGACGUAAGUACGACGGGCCCUACUACUUAGCAGACGGCAUUUACCCAAGGUGGGAAUCAUUUGUCAAAACAGUGCCACGUCCACGAAAUGCAAAGAAAAAAUACUUUGCAAGCUGUUAAGAAAGAUGCAGGAAAGAUGUGGAGCGUUGUUUUGGUAUACUCCAAGCUCGCUGGGCUAUUGUUAAGGGUGCUGCCAGAAUGUUUGAUGUAGAGUCGCUUCGAUCCAUCAUGAUGACGUGCAUCAUUCUUCACAACAUGAUUGUGGAAGAUGAGUACGAUUAUGAUGCCAUUGAUGAAUAUGAGCCAGACACUAUGAACAAUUCCAGAACACAAAUAUAUUGUGCUCAUGAUGCCACCGAAGAACCUGUGCAACACGAGCUAUUACAAAGGGAUAGACGUUACAAUGAUAGGGUCAUUCAACGAUAUAAUGCACUUCAAAGGCCAUAUAUGCACAAUGCCCGCCAAAUUGAUUUGAUAGAGCACUAGUGGGAAUUGAGGGGUGCUGAAGAUACUUAAGUUCAUUAGUGUUUUUUUUUAUUUGGUGUGUUAUUUUAUUUUAUGUGGUGUGUUUUUUUAGUUCAUUUAGUGAGUUGAAAUGUAAUUUUGGUAUGUUGAUGUAAUUUUAUUUGGUGUGUUUUUUUGGUGUGUUGAUGUUAUUUUAUUUUGUGUGUUUAAAUGUGUUUUGAAUAAAGUACUAAAUUAAAUAAAUUGGAAACAACAUAAAGUACUAAAUUCAAUAAAUAACCAAAUUAAAUAAAUAUACUCUUAGUUUAAAUAAAGUACUAAAUUCAAUAAAUUGGAAACAACGUAAAGUACUCUAUUCAAUGAAUAAGAAAUUACAACCCGAAUAAGAAAUUACAACUCGAGUUGAUUGGAAAAUUAUGGGUUCGUGAAUGGAUAAUCAUCACCUAACCAAUUUGUCGUGCUAGGAUGAUCUUCUGUUGUCGUGCUAGGAUGAUCUUCUGUUGUCAUGCUAGGACCAUCUCCUCUUACUGUCGCUUCUCUUGCAUGCCUCCUUCGCAUCACGUCAGCUUUCUCCGACUUCCAAAAAUAUUUAGAGUUUGGAGACUUCCCUUCUAAAGGCUCCUUCAUAAUGUUACGACCUUGUUCAGCCAUUCUUUCUUCCCUUCUAUGUUCCCUUUUUUGCCGAAGUAGUUCUCUUUCUCUCUCAUCAGCUUCAAUUUUUUUCUCAAAAGUUGCAGCUUUUGCAUCCGUUCUAGCCUUAUCAGCCUCAAAUUUAGUCAUUUCCCGGGCCAAAGUCAAUUGACUUUGGUGGGCAAGGUCUUCCAUAUACUUUGCAUAAUCAUUCUUGGAAGCAUUACCUUUUCUCUUUGAAGCCUUCUUACCUUGAGGCCUAAUUGGAAAACGGGUUGACCCCGACGCUUGUUCAAUGGGGGGUGUUUCAGGCACUUCUUUUGCAUCAUCUUCAUCAUGAUCAUGUGAGGCAUGAUCGGGUGUAGAGUGUAGAUGGGUGUUGUUCAUGAAAACUUAUGGACCGACAGGCACAACUCUGAAUUUAGGACAAUCUUUGACAAUAUUCCAACAUUCAAACCGGGGGAAUGUUUUGUUUUUGCUUUUGGUUUUGGCACCAUACCAAGCUUGUGCUUGAAGUUCCUACACAAUGCGGGAGAAUAAAUAAUUAUAACGAGAAUAGGUAACAAAUAAAUAAAACAAACAAAUAAUUAUAAUGAAAGUAGGUAACAAAUAAAUAAUACAAACAAAUAAUUAUAAUGAAAGUAGGUAACAAAUAAAUAAUACAAACAAAUAAUUAUAAUGAAAGUAGGUAACAAAUAAAUAAUACAAAAAAAUAUUUAUAAUGAAAGUAGCUAACAAAUAAAUAAUACAAACAAAUAAUUAUAAUGAAAGUAGCUAACAAUUAAACAAUACAAACAAAUAAAUAAUAUAUUGUUACCUGAUCCGCUAAAUUUUCCCCACUUCGAACAUUACCACUAGCUUGUGCCAAGGCGUCUUUCCACGUACUAAACGCUUGGCUAAGUAAUUUCCAACGACUGGACAUCGAUUCUUUAGUUCUUUGCCCACCCAUUUUCUCAAGAUAAUUGGUAUGAAUAAGACUCCACAUUUCUCGCAACUGCAUCUCAUUACCCGUAAGCGAAUCAUGAGUAACUUGAACCCAGCUAGUACACAACGCAACAUUUUCAAGAAGCGUUCAAUUCGUACUUGCUUGAGUAGUCAUUUUGUUGGAAAAAAUUGGAUUCAAACUUUGAGAGAAAGAUAGGAAUGUGGUUGAAAGUAGUUGAGAAAAUAUGAAAUUGUGGUGUAAGGUAGAAGAUAAUGAGAAGGUAUUUAUAGAAAAGUAAAAUCAAUUUUUUUAAUAAUUUUUCAUAAUUUUUUUUUGGAUUUUAAAGAAUUUUUUACAUUUAAAAAAAAAUUAUUCACCUAAUUAAUCUCUGCCGUUGGUUUUUAAAAAAAUUUGAAUUCCAACAGUCCAGAUUGUGCCACAUGGCACAACGGUAGCAUUUCAGAAUUUUUAACUGUUUUUUUUUAAAUUUACAAAGCCUAAUAACGUGGACCUUUGAUCUUAGAUCAAACGGAUGAAAUUAAAUGAUAUUUUAAAUGUUUUUUACCGUUGAAAAUCCAACGGUCCAUAAAAUAAGGCCGUUUCAAUCGAACAGACAUGGGGAAGCCACGUGGCUUCCCCCAACGGUAACAUUUCAAAUCAGGCGCCGCGGGCCCCAGCCCUGUUUUUUUGUCGGAAGACGCGUGCCCACGCGCGCGUGAAACGCACGCGCCUGACGCAGCCCUCGGGCUCUCAGGCUGGCAAUCAACGCCGGGCCUACUCCUCGGGCCUCGCCUGUCACUCGGGCUACCCAACGCUAGACCCUAUCCCCCCAGCAAUUUGGUCCUAUUUAAAUGCCUGGCCCCUGAGCAACCUCCCCCGCUGGAGUUGCUCUUAUUGAAUAUUAGUUUUCAAAAACAGAUGCUUAUGUCAUGCAAGAAUAUUCCAACUCAAAGUCUCAAAGACAAAUAUUUACGCGUGUAUAUGAUCUAGAUCCAAUUGACAUGCUAAUUAAUUAACUAAACCUUUUACUCAAAUUAUGCUACAAAUUAUUGUGGACACACCUUGAUUAGUAAUUACUUAGUGAAUGCAUGAUUAUAGAAAAAUAAUGUAUUAGUUUGGACUAAGCGGCUAGACUUUCGCAUAUAAACGGCGAGUUGUAAGAUAUGACUAAUCACACAUGCUGCUGACAUAUUCCAAUCAACUACACGUCACAUCCGUUGCUAUUGUAUGAGAAAUUUUUGAAUGUGACGGUCACAUAGCAUUUGCAGCUUCAAGGCAUGCAUGCAACUCAAGGCUCACACGAAUGUGUAUCAUAUUUUGUACUCAGUUGUAUUCUAUGAGAUUGUAUUGUAUUUGUUGAGGUCCUAUAUAAUGUAUAUUAGCAUGGAUUGAGAUCCAUUGCAAAUACCUGUGUCCACUGCAAAUACCUGUGUCCGAAGUUUGCAGAUCAGAAAUCUGGACAACUCAAUUUCAAUGCUAAACUCCUUAUUCGUUCAUCCUACUGGCCCACUUUAUGAAAAUCCAAAACUUAAACGGCCUGAAUCUCUUUAUCACACUCUCAAACAGUCCAGAUCUCUUAAUCCGCACUCCGGACACAGAGAUUCGGAAUGAAUCCUCAUUCACAUUAGCAUCUUCAGAUUCUAGCUACGACUAAUAGCAGUGUUGUCCGUUAUUAAUUUGCUCGACCAAACUAGUUGUUGUCAACUUUGUGUUUCAAAAGCACAAAAUGCAUGUCUAUUCGAGAAUAUUCCAACUCCACGACAACUUUCUACAUGUUUUCUGGUUCCCAUUGGAAACUAGUCACUCAAAAGCUACAAAAAAUAUUGUGGCUAUGGAUCAUGUUGCCACCUUACGAAUCAGGUUAGGUAUAUGCAUGAUUUGGGAAAGAAAAAAAAUUACAUUUUGGAUUAUUCAAUUGGAGCAUUUCUCGUAUAAACGGCUGAAAGAUUUUGUAAACAUGAUGCUGAGAACAAGAGUUACCUGUUUUAGGAAGGGGUAUUCGGUAGGGCCACUGUACUAUGGCAACAUAUACAAAGUAUAGGGACUAACGAGCAAGUAGAUGGGAUCAUGGAACAAAACAUAGGAGUUGCAUGAUACAAGAACACUCAGGCGACAAUAUCAUAAACCAAUUAAAUAACGCCACAUGAGAAAUUGAAAACAAAUGGCGUUGUGUUAUUAGUCUAGAAUGUCAGUAUAGGUUUUUGUUUAUAUAUCUCUACUAAUUAUUAAUAAAACACUCAUUGUCAACCAAAAUCCUAUGAAAUUACCAGUUUAACCCUCUAAUUAAAACAGAACAUAAAUAAGAAAUAUGGGGCAUAAAUGUAAUUUCACACAACCAAAUUUUGUUGUUUUUUUUUUCAAAGUCUCACCUACAUGUAAUCCUAACAUUUCUCUAAUUAAAAAAAAUUAAAAAAUUAAAAAAUUAAAAAACUUCUCACUCCCACAUUCUCUAUCACUCUCUUCCUUUCUCAUUCUAUUUCAAAAAAAAUAAUAAAAAAAAAAUUCUCAUACACUUUGUGUGUGCUCAUAUACUAGUAUUUUUUAAGUUUAUUAUUAUUAAGACGAAGUGGAGGUUUCGAAACUGUUAAAAUAAUUUAAGAAAUGAGAGAGUUUCGAAUUCAGAAUAUAUGAGUAAAAACUCAACACCCUAUUUACUAAGAUAUUAGAUUGCAUGCAAAAAUGCCGUGUAGGUAAAUCCGCCUAGGGAAGAGGUGUUUUUAUGUGCAAUCGGAUGCAUCAUAUGGUCCAAAUACCUUUCUCCUAGUUUAGUGCUAUCUUGUAUAUGUAUGUGUAAGUUGUAGCUAUCGGUUAUACCCCUUAUGAUUUAGCUACAAUGGGCGAUGGGGUCAUUCGAAAGUGACUCUUAGAAGCAGCUCAUGAGAGAUGCUUUUCCUUAAAAUCACUAGCCAUCGUGAUUUAUAGAGAAGCACAUAUCCUUCUCCCAGAAGUGAUUAAGGCCCUCUCAGAAUUACUUUCCGAACGAGACCUUAGACUCCGAAGUGUGGAACUUGCCUGUUGACAAAUUCAAAGGCUUUUUCUUUGUAAAACAUCCUUCAUUCUUUGCACAUUAACAUCCCUACGAACGAGUAAAAAGAGAAUUAAAACUCUGUUCAAAGUGUAUUCCGGGAGAAUGAGACCUUUUUCAUUAGCAGCACAUAACCAUGAGUACAUGACCAAGAAUUCCUCAAGUCGCAGAAUAUGCACCACACAAGUGGAAUUUUAGGUGCAUAUAUUAGAGGAAGAACGGAUACAUACAAAAUGGGUCAUUCUUCACAAACUUUCCUUUUCCUGUUUUGCAGGGCUUGCUGAUGCUGCAUAUGGAUGGCGAAUACAACAUGCCAUUCUCUUCCAAAGGCGAUCGUGGUUGCCCUAGGCUUGUCCAUUUUGUUAGAAUAAGAAGAAAAUGUAGUACACAAUGGAGGAUAUGCUGCAAUGACUAGAGUGAGAGAGAGAGAGAAAGAAUGAGAGCAGAGAAUAUAUGACACUGCAAUUCUUUUCACACGCACUGUUUGAUUGCUCACAAAGUGAGAGAGGAACAUCUCUCUACACUUAACAGUUACACUUCCAAACUUUUGGCAGUAUUCAAAAUUACAUCCAAGUAAUCCUAGCCAUCCAUCUUACACCCUAUGAGAUGAAGACACAUGUACACUCACUUACUUAAGAACUAUGAGACUUAGAUAAGAAAACAUACAACCAAUUUAGCUAAUCAUCCUAGCAAUAUAAGCUAGAAAUACAACUACCACAUCAGAUCACAAUUUACACACUAACAGCCCCCUUUAAAUUGUGAACUGAUUUAACUCCAAGAAGUUCCCUCAGAUAACUGAAUUGUUCUCUUGCCAAUGCCUUUGUAAAGAUAUCAGCAAUUUGCUCUUUCGUAGGACAAUGCAACAGCUCAAUUACUCAUUGCUGCAAUGCUUCCUUUAUGAAAUGGUAUCUCCUGUUGAUGUGCUUGGUCUUCUGAUGAAAAAUAGGGUUUUUAGUGAUAGCUAUGGCUGAAGUAUUAUCACAAUUCAUUGGUGUUGCAACUGUUUGCAUUUCACCAAAGUCCUCCAAAACAAAUCUCAGCCAUGUAGCCUGUGCAGUUGCUUCAGAUGCACUAAUGUACUCUGCUUCAGCUGUUGAUAAUGCAACACAUUGUUGCUUGACCGAAGACCAAGAGAAAACUCCACUGCCAAAGGUAAAUGCAUACCCCGAUGUACUUUUCAUAUCAUUUUCUGAACCGCUCCAGUCACUGUCACAAAAUCCCAUUAAGAUUGCUCAUUUACCUUUCUUGUAUUCCAAGCCAAAAUCAAGAGUCCCUUGAACAUAUCUUAGUACUCUCUUUGCUGUCCCAAGGUGCUUGUUGGUUGGACAGUGCAUAAACCGUGAUAGCAGACAUGCAGCAUACAUUAUAUCAGGUCUAGUUACUGUGAGAUACAACAAACUGCCUACAAUUUGUCUAUAUUGAGCUUCAUCCGCAAUCCCACUUCCAUCCUAUUUUCUUAAUUUAUCACUUGGAACCAAUGGAGUACUCACUGACUUACAGUCUUGAAGUCCAAAUUUCUUCAGUAGAGAAGAAGCAUAUUUUCUCUGAUGAAUGAAAAUAUACUCCUCAGUUUGCAUUACUCCCAUACCAAGAAAGUGAUGUAAGAGUCCAAGAUCAGUCAUUUCAUAUUUGAGCAUCAUAUCAGAUUUAAAGUCAUCCAUCAAUUCCUGACAACUUCCAGUGUAUAUUAUGUCAUCAACAUAGAUAGACACUAUAAUCAUUUCUGAACUUUUCCUCCACUUGGUAUACAGAGUUGCUUCGCUAGUGCUUUUCUUAAACCCACAGAGUGUAAGAUAUGAGUCUAUUUCACCAUACCAGGCCCUUGGUGCCUGCUUCAGACCAUACAGUGCUUUAUGUAACCUGUAGACCUUAUCUUCUUCCCCUUGUACAAUAAAUCCAUCCGGCUGAUCAACAUACACUUCUUCUUCUAGUACACCAUUCAAGAAUGCCGAUUUUACAUCCAAUUGAAACAACUUCCAUUUGUUCUUUGCUGCCAGGGCAAUUAAUGUUCUGAUUGUAUCCAACCUUGCCACAGGUGCUAAGGUUUCAUUAUAAUCAAUUCCGGGCUUUUGUGCAUAGCCUUUUGCAACAAGCCUAGCCUUGUUCUUUUGAACUGAUCCAUCCAAAUUCAAUUUAGUUUUGUACACCCAUUUCACACCAAUUACAGGUUUAUCAGAUGAUCUUUUCACUAAUUCCCAAGUCUUAUUUUUCUCAAUCAUGUUGAUUUCAUCUUUCAUAGCUUUCUUCCAUGCUUCAUCCUGUGCAGCUUCAUAAUAGGAUUCUGGUUCAACAAUACACACAUGACAUCUUUCAUAGAUUUCACUCAAACUUCUAUAUCUCAAAGGAGUAUGAUCAAUCUGAGAUGCAGAAAUUGAGUCACUAGCACUUCCAGAUUCAAUGAGUGGAGAAUCUGUAAGUUGAGUCUGAGAACCUUCAGCAACAGCUUGUUCCAUGGAAUCCGAAUCCUUAUCAGCUUCUUUCAUCUCUGAAGAUUCACUUUCAGCAAUUGGAAUGUACACUUCUUUGAUCUUCUGUCUAUUCCAAUCCCAUGUACCAUUCUCAUAAAAAUAACAUCUCUUGAAAUGAUUACUUUCUGAUUUUCAGGAUUAAGCAAUCUGUACCCCUUUUCACAAGUGCCAUAUCCAAUAAAAAUACCAAUGACACUUGUUUCAUCCAGCUUCUGUCUCAGGUUUCUAGGAAUAAGGGAAUAACCUAAUGAGCCAAACACUCUCAAGUGUUGAAUUCCAGGUUUUCUUCCACUGAAUUUCUCAAAAGGUGUCACAUUUUCCAAUGCUUUUGUAGGACAUCUAUUUAGCAAGUAGACAGAUGUAACUACAGCUUCACCCCAAAGACUAUAAGGAAGACCUUUCUCAUGAAGCAUACACUUUGCCAUCUCCACUAUAGUUCUAUUUUUUCUCUCUGCAACUCCAUUCUAUUGUGGAGAGUGCAACAGUAAGCUGCCUCUCCAAACCCAAAGCUUCACAAAACUGUUCAAAUUCAUUUGAGGUAAAUUCUCCUCCUCUAUCUGUUCUCAAUUUCUUCACUGAAAAACCACUUUGAAGUUCCACUAUAGCUUUGAAUUUCUUGAAUACAUGAAAGACAUCUGACUUGUGUCUCAAGAGAUAUAUCCAGCACAUCCUCGAAUGGUCAUCAAUGAAUGUAACAAAGUAUCGAUUUCCACUCAUGGUUGGUGUUUGCAUAGGGCCACACACAUCUGAGUGUAUAAGUUCCAAUGGCAUUUUUGCUCUCCAGAUUGACUCCCUUAGAAAGGACACUCUAUAAUUCUUACCAAAUGCACAUCCCUGACAUACACCUUCACUGUCAUGCAUUUCAGGUAACCCAAUAACCAUAUCAUGCUCCUGCAAUUGUUGCAAACUUCUAAAAUUCAGGUGGCCAAACCGUUUAUGCCACAUUGUACUACUCUGAUGCACAUUGGUUUUCAGUACCAAAUGAUCGUUUGACUUGAACACAAGUGGAAAGCAUCUGUUUCCCUUUUGUUUCACACUAACCACUAAAUUUGUCAGAGUUCUAUCAUAAAAAAUAUCCACCUUAUAAUCACCAAAUAACAGAAAAUACCCAUGUUCAGUCAUCUGCCCAACACUGAGAAGGUUUUCUGCAAUUCCAGGUACCAACAUAACUUCUCUUAUGUACCUUUUUCCUUUAUCCGUGUCAAUGACCAAGGUUCCUUUGCCUUUCACAUCAACAAGAACCCCUGUGCCAACUUGCACUUUUGCCUUAAUACUUCUAUCAAUUUCCACAAGUAACUCAUCUCUGGAAGUCAUGUGAUUACUGCACACACUGUCAAUAUACCAGGCAUCACUCACAGCUUUCACUUCAGUUGAUUGCUUGACCAUGAAGAGAUUUCCAGGUUCUCCCACCUUGUUUGUAAAAUUCCUUUGCUCUCCCACUUUGUCUGCAAAAUUCCUUUGCUGAGCAUUUUUGUUUUGAUUGCAGAUCCUAGCAAUAUGACCAAGUUUUCCACACUUGUGACAUUUAAUCUUCCCUUUUAGCCAACAUUCACCAUAGUGAAGUUUAUCACAGUAUUUGCAUGCCCUUCCAGUGUUGUUAGCUUCAUUUCUUACACUUGGAGUAAACCUGUUAGUCCACUGCUUCCCUUUGAACUUGAAGUUCUUCUGAUAUUUUGAUCCACCAGUAUUGGUAUGUUGAUUACCAAAUUUACUAUUCUUAGAUGAGAUAUCUAAGCUAGCAAAUGCACGUUCUGUGCUACUCUCUUCAUGUCUGAUUAAUCUUAGUUCAAACCCUUUCAAUAUGGCAACCACAUCUUGUGUAUCAAUUACAUCAAUAUCUUUAGUAUUUUCUAUAACAGAAGCAAUGCUAUCAUAUGUUUUGGGUAAACUGAUCAAUAACUUUUGCACAAUUCUCUGAUUACUAAGAUCUUCUCCAUAGCUUCGCAUCUGAUUUAUCAGAUCAAACAGCCUAGCUAAAUAUGCAGCUAGAGAUUCACUUUCACUCAUACGGGUAUAUUCAAAAUCACGACGCAGACCUUGUAAUUUCACAGAUCGUACCUGUUUGUCCCCUACAUACUCUUGCUUCAGAAUAUCCCAAGCUUCUUUCGCAGUUUCCAAGGUUGCAAUGCGUGGAAAAAUUUGAUCUGAUACGGCUCCCUGAAUGAUUCCAAGAGCCCUUGCAUCCUUGACCAGAUUUUCACUCCGCAACUUCGUUUCCACCUCAGUGAGUUCUCAACAAUAUUCCAUAACUCGUGAGAUCGGAAGAUUGUUUUCAUUCGAAUCUGCCAGAAAUCGAAAUUUUCUCCGUUGAACACCGGAGCUCGAAGCUCCCCUCCACCAGAUCCAGCCAUGUUAGACUUAGAUCACACCUCUCUCUACUAUUUUCUUUGCAACGAUGUGUUGCAAACACUUGCUCACUAUCUCUCACAGAAUCGACGCCCAGAGAUUCAGACCCAACAAGGCUCUGAGGCCAUGUUAGAAUAAGAAGAAAAUGUAGUACAACAAUGGAGGAUAUGCUGCAAUGACUAGAGUGAAAGAGAGAGAGAAAGAAUGAGAGCAGAGAAUAUAUGACACUGCAAUUCUUUUCACACGCACUGUUUGAUUGCUCACAAAGUGAGAGAGGAACAUCUCUCUACACUUAACAGUUACACUUCCAAACUUUUGGCAGUAUUCAAAAUUACAUCCAAGUAAUCCUAGCCAUCCAUCUUACACCCUAUGAGAUGAAGACACAUGUACACUCACUUACUUAAGAACUAUGAGACUUAGAUAAGAAAGCAUACAACCAAUUUAGCUAAUCAUCCUAGCAAUAUAAGCUAGAAAUACAACUACCACAUCAGAUCACAAUUUACACACUAACACAUUUCGCCGCACCUUGUCAAAAAUUGGAUUUUCGACCAAAUCUUUCGCUGACGGCCUCCAGACUGGAUUUGGAUCCAACAUGAACUGAGAGAUUCAUCAAAAUGUAAUGCAAUCAGCAACGCUAUCACAGGGUUCAUUUAGUAGCACAAACCAACUAAGAAUCAUAGGAUGCUACGUGUAGAAUGGAACCGGUUUCUUAGAAAAUUAGUCAUCUACGAAUACCAUUUUCUUUAACAAAGAUUCUCGCAUUAAAAUUAAUUGCAACAAAUAGAAAUAGCAAAAGUGAAACAGUCACAAGUUCACAGCCACAGAAAACAAAGUCCAACCACUAAUGGAAAGGAAAAGGUGAUGUUACCUUGAGUAAGUUCUGAAAUUGCAACGAAUGACCAGGAAGGAGUGGCAACUUUCCCUCCCAGAGAUUUAAAAUUUGAGGUCCUGAUUCUGGCAAAGGUGAACCUCUAAUAAGCUCAUAAACAGCAACUCCCAAGGAGAAGAUAUCGGCCUUAUCAAGAUCAUCAUAUUUCUCAUUCAGGAUUUCUUGCGGCAUAUAUCGAGCAUCACCCUCUUCAAUUGGCAGGCUGUUGUCAAGUAGAGUUGCACAUCCAAAGUCACCAAGCUUAUAAACACCAUUCUUCACGUAUAUAUUAUCAGGUUUUACAUCUAAGUGAGCUAUUCCUCGCCCGUGUAUAAGCUGCAACGCUUUUGAAAUCUGUACAUAUAUAUUUUUACAUGAGAAAUUAGCAUAUACCAACAGAAGAUGAAACAUUGUCAAGCUAAAAAGCGUUCAAAUUAAUCAAAGACUACAGCCUGUCAGAUAGGAUCUCAGAUAUGUGUCAAUGCCAGUGAGUGUGCAUGCAUGACAAUGUGCAGCUGCUCAUUUUCAAACCAAGACGAAUAGUAUCCAACAAUGUUUUCAUGGGAUUCUUCAAGCACGGAGGAGGCAUGACACGACAGCGUAAAGCCACUGCAGAUUGAGAUACAUAAUUUUGCUUCUUCCGUGGUUCCGUUGCCGUUGGUUUCUCCAUCACAACCUCAUUGAUGCCAAAAACAUCUUUCUCAAGCUCAACUACCGGCUCAUUUCCGAACAGCGUAGGGCUGAGAGGAUUCAAUGAGAUGUCAUCUGCAUCAAGUAUGAAUUUUUACUAGCAAUUCCAAUUACCAAGUAGUUUUUCAUCAGAAUUUACUUGUAGUAACAAAGUAAAACUUUUAGCCUUCCUCUGAUAAAGUGAUUCGAACCCUUGAAAUUUGAUCAAACCGCUAAAAACAGAGGCUUCUUUUAAAAGUUAUAAUAAUUUUAACCGUUGGAUCAAAUUUCAAAAGCCUAAAUCACUUGAUCCGUGUGAUUUGGUGGAAGAGAUUCGAAAAUGAUACAUUUUCGGCUUGUUUCAAAAUUAGUGCAUACUCUACGAGGACGAUGGUAGUGGGCCGAGAUAAAAAAAUAGAUAGGACACGUGUCGCUUACACACGCAUCGAGGACCAAAUUUGGCGUCAAAACCCACUGUCGACGAACCUCUUCCUUUGAACCCACAAUUUCCUCUGUUUCUGAAGAUUUAUAAGCUCCACCACCGUGCUAUGCGUUGUUUUCAGACAAUUCCAGAGUUUGAUCAGAGCAUUUCUGGUAAACUCUCUCGAUUCGAUUCUCGCAUUUUAUCUGUGUUUUUCUGAAUUGGGAUUCUUGGAUUGAAGUGUUCUUUGGUUGUUCAUUUGGGCAGAUGAGGAAGAAUCGGAAAAAAAAUGAUUUUCCCAAUUGCACUGCCAUUGACGGUUCCACCAAGAAAAAGGUUUUUAUUUAUUUUUUAAUGUUUAUAUUUAUUUUGCUUUAAACUUCAAUGUGCUUGAUUUAAUUUGUAUGUAUAUGCAUUGUUUAUGUAGUCGUAAUUGGCAAAGGAUCGGUACAAUGUGUUUGGAUACCAAGAAAAUAUGAGAUGGUACAGAGAAAAUUAUGUGAAUUGCUUUUCUAGUUGUAUUGACCCUGCAAUGUGAGUUAGACCAAUUCGCCAAGGUAGUGUGCCAGCUUCUUUACACUGAAUUCGAAUCCAAUCCCCUCUUUGCAAAUCAUAAUUGUUUAGAAUAGAAUAUUGUCCUAUACAAAAGAAAAAUGAUUAUAGUUACUUUUGUUUUGCUUUUAUAGUAAACUUGUCUUGUUGACACAACGGAAGUUGUAAGAAAAGGGAUCACGAAUGGUCUCCCUUGAAAAAACUCUGGAAUUCCAGAAUUUGUGAGAGAAACUCUCGUUUCUGAAUUUUGUAUUGAUUCAAAAGCUAUUGUCUAUUACAAAGCAAAAGAACAUAUUAUAAACACUUGUUUCAAGAAAAUGAAAAGACAAGCAACAAUAAAUCCUCAUUGAUUAGGAAAUACCCUCUAAACGACUCGGAACGUUUCUAAACUGUUCGCAUCAUCAAGCAGUUUCUUUAUUCCUACGUUAGUCUUCUCUCCUUGAAAAGAACUCGUCCCCGAGUGAUCAAGAUAUAACGGAACAUCAACAAGAUGGAAAUGAUGCAAAUCAGUAACAUUGAAAGAGCGAGAAAUCCCCAUUGAUGUCGGCAAAUCCACCACAUAGGCGUUGUCAUUGAUUUUGUGCACAAUCUUUGAGCAUCGAUGUUUAUCAGCAGCAGCCUUGUUUUUGGAAUUCAUUUGAGCAAGUUUCUCGGCAACUUCGUUCUUGGCUGCUUGAACUCUUUCAGCCAUAUGUUCAGCUACAACAUUUAUUCAUGGGCCAUGAGGAAGCCUUAUAAAAUCCACCACAUGAUGGGGAUUUAAAGUAUAGACAAUCGAAAAUGAUGACUUGUCGGUUGCGGUAUGCACACCACUAUUGUAAGCAAAUUCGACUUGAGCAAGCACCAAAUCACAUUGCUUGGGUUUAUCUCCACAUACACAACGAAUCAUAUUACCCAACGUCUUAUUGGUCACUUCAGUUUGUCCAUCUGUUUGAGGGUGGGCAGUGUUACUCCGAUUCAAUGUUGUUUCAAAUAUCUUCCACAAAGUCAUCCAAAAGUAACUAAGAAACUUAGAAUCCUGAUAAGAAGUAAUGGACUGAGGAACCACAUGAAGGCGCACCACCUCUCGAAAGAACAAGUGAGCAAUGUGAGAUGCAUCAGAUGUCUUACCGGUCAACCACCACAAAUACAAAAUCGACUCCACGCUGGGUUCGAGGUAGACCCAACACGAAAUCUAUAGAUAAAUCCAGCCAAAUAUCAGUAGGGACAGGUAAGGGCAUGUACAAACCCGUGUUUUGGGACUGACCUUUAAAGGAUUGACAAACAAAGCACUUGCUAACUAUGUUACCAACAUCAUUUUUGAGUUGUGGCCAGUAAUAUGGUUUUAUCACACCCAAGAUGACCGCUUAAACCACCAUCAUAUAGGUCUUUAAUGAGCUUCUCCCUUCAUGAACAACGUGGAAUGCACAAGUUAUGCCCCUUGAAAAGAAACACAUCGGUAAUGUGAAAGUCAGAAGGAGGAUGGGAGCGGAGACACUUUGCCCAAAUGUCUUUAAAGUCGUCAUCCCCCUCAUAAAGCUCAUUCAAGAAAUCAAAACCCACAACCUCCUGACUCAAAGUCACCAAUAAUUGGGCUCUCCUGCUCAAUGAUCGGCUACGCGAUUAAGCGUACUGGAUUGGUGCUUGAUGACAAAAGAAAUUUUUUGGAGAUAAGUCACCCAUCGCAUAUACAUCAUGUCUAACACUUUUCUGAUUAUUGACCCACUUCAGUGCCAUGGUCGGUGUAUAGGACAAAUUCAUUUUGAACGAGUUAAUGCUCCGAUUAGAGUAAAGCACGAAUGACAGCAUAAAACUCUUGAGCAUAUGUACUCCAUUUUUGCCUCACUUCGCUAAGCCUCUCACUGAAAAAUGUAAUGGGAUGUUUUUCUUGAGAUAAAACAACUUCAAUACCUACUCCGUUUGCAUCGUAUUCAACUUCAAAAACCUUAUCAAAGUUGGGUAAGUUGAGGACGGGAGUAGAGCAUAGCUUUUCUUUAAUUAAAGCAAAGCUCAUGUCCUGUUUAUCACCCCAAAUAAAGUUACCAUUCUUCAAACAUUCUGUCAUUGGCGCCACAAUGGUGCUAAAGUUCCUUACAAACCAUCGAUAAAACGUUGCAAGGCCAUGUAAGCUUCGCAAUUCAGAUACAUUUUUGGGAGCUAGCCAAUCUCAAAUGGCUCUCACCUUCUUUUAGUUUACAUGGAUGCCAUCCGAACUUAUGACAUACCCAAGGGUAGUCGAUCGGUGAAGAAACUGCACUUCUUGAAGUUAAUUUACAAUUUGUUUUCCUGAAAUAUUUGAAGUACUUGUCUCAAAUGCUCUAAAUGGUCGUGCUCAGAUUUGCUAUAAAUUAGUAUAUCAUCAAAGUAUACAACAACAAAUAAUCCGACAAAUGGACGAAACACCUGGUUCAUUAGUCGCAUAAAUGUGUUAUGAGCAUUGAACAGACCGAACAACAUCACCAACCAUUCAUAUAAGCCAUCUUUACUCUUGAAUGUUGUCUUCCAUUCGUCUUCUGGACGGAUUCGAAUUUGAUGAUACCUACUUCGUAAAUCGAUCUUAGAAAAUAUUAUGGAAUAAACUAAUUCGUCCAACAUGUCGUCUAAACGGGAAAUGGGAAAACGAUAUUUGAUAGUGAUCUUGUUGAGCUCGGCUAUGAACACACAUUCUCCAUGUCUUGUCUUUCUUGGGCACAAGAAGAACCGGCACUAUACAAGGGUUAAACUAAUGAAGCCCAUUUUUAACAACUCAUCAAUUUUCUCCCGUAGAAUCUCAAUCUCUUUCGGACACAUCCUAUAGUGUGGCAGAUUUGGCAAGCUUGCCCUAGGAAUGAAGUCGAUUUGAUGUUGUAUAUUCUGCAUGAGAGGUAACUCAUUCGAAUAUCGUCACUCACCAAAUCCUCAAAGUCUUGUCGGAUUGCUUGAACCUUGUUCGGAAUCUGCAACUUUCGGUCUUGUGUCAUUAAGAGGCUUUUCAUGACCAAAGCACAAAUUACCUUGGUCUUUUUUGCUUCGGAUGUAACAUCGCGCUCAGAUGUGAUCAAGGUGAUGAACUUAUUCGGGUUAUCAACUUUUAUGACAACAUUAGUUGAUUUUCCAUUAGGGAACAUGGUGAUGCAAUGUUAUUCCCAAGUGAACUUAUAGACAUUGCCACGACCCUUGUGCAUGACAUCUCUAUCCUAUAGCCAUGGACUACCGAGCAAUACAUGAGUCACGUCCAUGUCAACUACAUCACACACAACUUCCUCCUUGUAAAACUUCCUAAUUGAGAUGGGAACCUUACAAGUUUCAAUCACCUUUUCCGUCGGGCCCUUCUUAAUCCACCCUGCCGAGUAUGGGUGUGAAUUUUUCUCAGUUUGAAGGUGAAAGUGCUCCACGACUUUUCUAGCAACGAAGUUUUCACAACUACCUCCGUCUAUUACCAACUGACAAACUUUGUCCCGAAUAGUGCACUUAGAGCGAAAGAUUUGAUGACGUUGAUUGUCAUCGCUGGGUUUGGAAUAAAUCACUCGCUGUAAAACUAAUGCUAACUCAUCUCCUUCUUCCUCAGCCACAUCAUCAUCAUAUUCAUCAUCUACUUCUUCAUAUUCACCUCCUUUUACUAAAUUCACUAUCUUGCCAACCCAGCAGGUGCUUGUGGGAUGCCCAUGGCUGCCACAUUUGUAACACAUGUUUCUACGAGGCUUGGUAUACGGAUUAGCUUGCUUGCGGAAUUAGUUGUUUUGAAAACGAGUAGUGUUACGAGGACUAUUUUUCACUCCUAGAUGAUCAACUUUAUUUUCAACCCUUUUUUCUGGACCCUUGGAAACCUGUUGCUGCUGCACCAUUUCUUUAUUUCUUGGGAAAUUGCUGAAAGAUUGAGAUGACUUUCCCCAUUGCUUUCUAAAACCAUCUGGUUGCUGCGAUUUUUCUCCAGCAAUUAUGCGCUAAUAGCCAACUCUUCUGUUUGAAGGGGAGUUAACACGUUGUAACCCAAUUUUGUCAUGAAUGGAAGGUUUUAAUCCAAACAAAUAUCGUACAGUUUGUCAUGCAAAGGACUCAGUGGGACGAUUUCUUGCAGCAAGGUUGAAAAACUCUUGUGAAUACUCAUGCACAGUUCGACUUCCUUGUACACAGUCGUGGUAUUUUUCAAACAACACUUGCUUGUAAUUCCGAGGAAGGAAACGUGCCCGAAGCAUGCUUUGCAUUUUACGUCAAGUUUGGACACGAUUCUUUCCUUGCCACACCCUGGACUCUUGAGGCUCAUCCAACCAAACGGCAACGCUUCCCUUUAGCCUCCAUGCCAUAACUUUAACUUCUCGCAUAUUCGAAGAAGUUCUCUUACUCCGCAAGCCAAUCUAAAAACUCUUCAAUCGAUAAGUUUCCAUUGAAAGUGGAAAUUUCAAUUUUUUUUUUCUUCUCAUGGAUUUUCAGGGAUGGCAGAGAUAACGUCAUCUUCAGAAUCUGAAUCACCGUUAGGGAAAUCUCUGACUUGCUAGGGUGCUACAACCAGUUCGCGAGCACGAACAACAUGUUGAGCGCCGCCUACGGCCAGGCCUGCAAUCAUCUCUCUAAUUUCAGCGAGGGAAUUUUGCAUUGUAUGAUUGAUGCGACACUCCAUAGCCACAAGCUCUCAACUCACGUAUGUGAAACUUAUGAUAUUGGUUCUUGCUUCGUCUUCAGCCAUUGAAUUGGAAAACCGGGCUCGAUGCCAACUGAUAUAGCAGAAGUUGUAAGAAAAUGGAUCACAAACGGUCUCCCUUGAAAGAACUCUGGAAUUCCAGAAGUUGUCUAUUACAAAGCAAACAAACAGAUUAUAAAUUCUUGUUUCAAGAAAAUGAAAAGACAAGCAACAACAAAUCCUCAUUGAUUACGAAAGACCCUAUAAACGACUCAGAACGUUUCUAAAUUGUUCGCAUCAUCAAGCAGUUUCUUUAUUCCUACGUCAGUUACAGGAAGAGAGGGUGUAUUAAUCAUAAUUCUAUUCCUAAACAUGAGGAAUUACCUAUUUUGUCACGUCUAGAAGUGCUGAAAGGUGCGUGUUUUUUCGAAAAUGGCUACUAGGCUUGAACUGGCAUAGGCUCUAUUUAGCAACACAGUGAUGUUUGUUUAAUUCUUUCAGAUGCAGGUUCUAAUGCGUAUGCCUGCAGCUUGGCGGAUGAAGUGAGCUCUAACGAAGAGGUAGUAUGCAUUCAGAUAUAUAGAUAUCUUAUUUUUGGUGUUUUUGUGCUAAUGCAAGGAGUAAUGUGCUUGUUUAGCGGAAUGGAUCUCCUAGGUUCUUGAAUUUUCAGUGGUGGGCAGCAAGCGACGUGGAGAUGAGGCCAUGAACCGCGACAGAGUGAUGGAGAUAGGGGUUUGUUGUUUGGGUCACGGUGGUGUGAAAGAAAUGAGCAAUCUGAAAGGCAAAGAGAAAGAAAGGGGAAAGUGAAGUGGAAUGGUUUAGAAUUUCACUUGUUUGAUAUUUCAUUCUAGCGCUAUAAUUUCCCACUAUGCAUUUUUUGUAAAAUAUCUAAAAAGUUUAUGUGCGUAAAUGUUGUUUGUCCUGUGUUUCGAGAAUACGUGAUGAAUCUACUCGCCACUAGCUUGUUUUUAAGUUAGAUAUCUAUCAGAGUAGAUAUGUGUGACGCAAAUGAAUAAUUCCUCACGGAUUCUUAUAGUAUGUGACAAAUUUUUAGGCGUCACAAUCAAUUUCGUCACCUAAUCUAUAUUUUCUUGUAGUGAAGGUAUGGACCCAAAUAUAUAGAAAAUUCACUUUACGACAUAACGCGAUGCCUCAAAAGAGAAGGAAAGUGUGUCGUGUAAAUUGUCAAAUACGACACACGACGCUUAAGCCGUAAAUAUUUUUAUUUAACGACUUGCACAAAAGUGAUGCCGUGAAUGCUAGAUUAUGUGCAAGUAUUAUAACAUGAACUUUACGAAUGUCGUGAAUAAUAUCAUUUAAGGCAUGCCAGUACUGUACGCUGCAUAUUUCAAGUCGUAAAAAACCCAAACUGUUGUAGUGAAUCAAUUAUCAUUCUCCAAAUCAAUUUCAAAGAAUAGAAAUAAUCAAAGUGGUUCCUCCUCCAUCUAUUAAAUCCUCCAUUGCUAAGUCCAUAUUUUCCCAAUUCAUGAGCCACCACGUUAUAUUUUCUUUUUAAAUCCUCCAUUACUAAGUCCAUCCAUGUCUUUAGGUGUAUAUAAAUAAUAUAAAGUAUAAAUAUACAUGUUCUCAAUCAAUAAUAUAACACAUGAAUUAAUAAUAUUAUUUGAACUAUCACCGGGAUUCUAAUACAAUCAGUAAUAUAUUGCACUAGAAAAAGAACAUGUAAGAGGGUAGACCAUAAAAAAAAGGAAGAAAAACUUUUAGACAAAAUUCAUAGAAUGAACAACCAAUUGCUACUUUACAAACCAACGUGUCAUAAUACAUUAGCAAUGGAGCAUUGCAUAUAAGCGUAUGUAUAUAUUACAAUUGUAGUCUACCUCGUGGCCGGAAGAGCUCUCGGUCACCUGAUAACAUUUUUAAUUUGUAAGAACUCAAACCUAAUUCCAGAAUUCUUGAUUUAUUUAUUUAUUUGAUGUAGCUAGCUAGCUAGCUAGUAAUUAAUCACCUUAAAUAGCUUGUCUCAAGCAUGUACUAAAAUUUGUAUCCACUUUCUUUUGCUCUAAAGUUCAUAAGUCAUGCCCACUUUCAACAGCCGCUUGUGAGGAAUAUCAAACACUUUGUCACUCUGCCUCAAAUUCCUCUUCAAGAAAUUGUAAGCGUAAUCGAUCACAAUUCUUUUCGCUAUGCCAUGCCAGCUCCUUUGGCAGCCGUCACUUCAUUUUCCCCAAUCAAAUGAACAACUCCCCGCCUCCAUGCUUUGUCUAUUGCCUCAAUCUCUCUGUCCAACAAAUCUUGUUGCUUAUCAUGAUCAUCAACUUGCUGCUUCAAAUCCUCCUUUCCUUUCUCUCCACCGUUAGCCAAAGUACUGUCUUCGAAUUCUUCCUCGAUCUCCAACUUGGUAUCCCCAUAAACGCUACUGUGCAUAAUAUUUGUUUGAGAUAUCCAAAAAUUAUCCUUUAUGAACUCUUUCAACUUCUCCACCAACAAUCCUUCGAAGGGUUCGUUCUCAUUGCGAACAUCGGUGUACCCAUAUCUAGCAACGCAUCGGAACACAUUCAGAUCCUUAGCCUCUACUUGCCGAAAAAGAAAGCGCUCUUCCAAUGGAACCUUGCUUAUAGGCAACGAUUUGAUUGAGACAAAAACAAGGACGGAGUGCAAUGCAGGCACAUUAGCAGCGUAAUGAUUGAAGAUUGGCGGAAUGCCUUGAACAAGUUCCGAAUAGAACAUGGCGAGGCCAGGCAUACGAGAAAAGUUUGCAUCAACAGCAAUUUCCUUGAGUUGUUCGGGAGAAAUUUUGUGUUCAAGCUCGUAAUAGUACUUUCUUCGAUGCACAUCAUUCCACACAAACAUUAUAAACAUCAACAAUGUAGCAAACGCGAGGGGAAGAUAUCCGCCCUGGUCAAGUUUGUAGAGCACUGAACUUAGAUACAGAAGCUCUACACUUCCAAUAACAAGAACAUAUGAGAUGACGAGGAAUAUGUUGGUCUUCCAUAUCAUGAUCAUGAUUAGCACUAGGAAGGAUGAUGUAAGCGUCGUUACAAACACCACUGCUACACCUGUACAUAUAUAUACGUAUGACAAUUAGACAAAGUCAUUCAUUUUUAGUUUAAUGUGCACAUAAAUAUUUUCCUGUCAGACUGAAUGUGGAUCAUACAUUAAUUCGACUAUUUUUUAAUGUAAGACGGUGACUCAGAUUUUGGCAACAUAAGCAUUUGUUUGAUGACAUAAUUAAGUUUGUAAAGAGAACAUUACCAUAUGCAUUUCCGAUCUUUGCAGUGCUUCGAAACCCUAAAGUGACUCCAACACAAGCUAACAUGAGAAGGUAGUUCACUUCCGGAAUAUAAACUUGUCCGGCAUACUUGGUUGAUGUGUGCACGAUUUUCACACGAGGGAAACACCCUAAUGAUAGUGAUUG
Molecule: long non-coding RNA, 32001 nt
Filed under: Malus domestica (apple)
Lineage: Eukaryota; Viridiplantae; Streptophyta; Magnoliopsida; Rosales; Rosaceae
Description: long non-coding RNA (MDOM_LNC010980)
Source: RNAcentral